This 406-nucleotide ribosomal RNA is filed under the name uncultured bacterium. RNAcentral describes it as "partial 16S ribosomal RNA". It matches the Rfam family "Bacterial small subunit ribosomal RNA", at positions 29 to 526 of the family's 1533-position model. The record is from RNAcentral.
AUUGAACGCUGGCGGCAGGCCUAACACAUGCAAGUCGAACGAGUGGCGGACGGGUGAGUAAUGUCUGGGGAACUGCCCGAUGGAGGGGGAUAAAUACUGGAAAAGGUAGCUAAUACCGCAUACCAUCGGAUGUGCCCAGAUGGGAUUAGAUAGUAGGUGGGGGAACGGCUCACCUAGGCGACGGUCCCUAGCUGGGGGGAGAGGAUGACCAGACACACUGGAACUGAGACACGGUCCAGACGCCUACGGGAGGCAGCAUUGGGGAAUAUUGCACAAUGGGCGCAAGCCUGAUGCAGCCAUGCCGCGUGUAUGAAGAAGGCCUUCGGGUUGUAAAGUACUUUCAGCGAGGAGGCGUUACUCGCAGAAGAAGCACCGGCUAACUCCGUGCCAGCAGCCGCGGUAAUAC